This 292-nucleotide ribosomal RNA is filed under the name uncultured bacterium. RNAcentral describes it as "partial 16S ribosomal RNA". It matches the Rfam family "Bacterial small subunit ribosomal RNA", at positions 505 to 796 of the family's 1533-position model. The record is from RNAcentral.
GUGCCAGCAGCCGCGGUAAGACGUAGGAUCCGAGCGUUGUCCGGAGUUACUGGGCGUAAAGCGCGCGCAGGCGGACACGCGCAUCGGCGGUGAAAGCCCCCCGCUCAACGGGGGAGGGUCCGUCGAGAUGGCGUGUCUGGAGGCAGGGAGAGGCCAGUGGAAUUCCGGGUGUAGUGGUGAAAUGCGUAGAGAUCCGGAGGAACACCAGUGGCGAAGGCGGCUGGCUGGACCUGACCUGACGCUGAGGCGCGAAGGCGUGGGGAGCGAACGGGAUUAGAUACCCCGGUAGUCC